UUUUCAUUUUUUUGGACCAAGGACCUCAAAUCUAAAGACCCUAGGUCUCUAUCACUUAUGGUUUACCAUUUAGAAAUGCAUAUCACUUAAUUCAAAUGGAAAAGGGGAAUAACUCUCAUAUGGAGUCUCCAUAAAGCUUCGGUCCAAAUGAAUAUCCUAAUCCUGAAGAUGUAACGAGCAAUUUGGUAAAAUAAAUUUGUCGUAAUCUUUUACGGUUGCGAAGGAGUAGUGGCCACAAGAAAAACAGUGUUUGGGGAGAUAACUCUUACAACGUAAAGUAUUUUGUUACGCAGUUGUAAAUUUUUAAAGCGUAUAAACUAUACGAUAUCAUAUUCCAAAUAUCUAAGCGACA
This 352-nucleotide long non-coding RNA is filed under the name Mytilus galloprovincialis (Mediterranean mussel). Lineage: Eukaryota; Metazoa; Mollusca; Bivalvia; Mytilida; Mytilidae. The record is from RNAcentral.